UCACCACUUUGUCGUUGUUGCCAGAAGUGCUCGAAGCUGGGCAGACAAACACUAAAUACAUAGUUUUGUCUAGCAAAUAGAGGCGAGGUAUGAAAAAUUCAGGGCUCAAAAACUUGACUGCAUGCCAUAAAAAAUAGAUCAAGGGAAGACAAAUUUAGCACGAGACAUGCAUCAAAAGCACAAAUUAUUAUGGAGGUGUGGAACUUGAAGUGCCCACGACUCGAUUGUCCUAGUACUCGUCCAGCGGAGUGCCCU
RNAcentral lists this long non-coding RNA (255 nucleotides) under Hordeum vulgare. Its description in RNAcentral is "long non-coding RNA (HVUL_LNC000441)". The record is from RNAcentral. Lineage: Eukaryota; Viridiplantae; Streptophyta; Magnoliopsida; Poales; Poaceae.